This 850-nucleotide ribosomal RNA is filed under the name uncultured bacterium. Its description in RNAcentral is "bacterial SSU rRNA". It matches the Rfam family "Bacterial small subunit ribosomal RNA", at positions 60 to 909 of the family's 1533-position model. The record is from RNAcentral.
AGUCGAGGGGCAGCACAGGUAGCAAUACUGGGUGGCGACCGGCAAACGGGUGCGGAACACGUACGUAACCUUCCUUUAAGUGGGAGAUAGCCCGAAGAAAUUCGGAUUAAUACCCCAUAAGAUUGUGGAAUGGCAUCAUUCAGCAAUUAAAGAAUUUCGCUUAAAGAUGGGCGUGCGGCUGAUUAGGUAGUUGGUGAGGUAACGGCUCACCAAGCCAACGAUCAGUAACUGGCGUGAGAGCGCGACCAGUCACACGGGCACUGAGACACGGGCCCGACUCCUACGGGAGGCAGCAGUAAGGAAUAUUGGUCAAUGGACGCAAGUCUGAACCAGCCAUGCCGCGUGAAGGAUGAAGGUCCUCUGGAUUGUAAACUUCUUUUAUAUGGGAAGAAACCACUUUUUUCUAAAGGUGUUGACGGUACCAUAGGAAUAAGCACCGGCUAACUCCGUGCCAGCAGCCGCGGUAAUACGGAGGGUGCAAGCGUUAUCCGGAUUCACUGGGUUUAAAGGGUGCGUAGGCGGAUUAGUAAGUCCGUGGUGAAAUCUCCGAGCUUAACUCGGAAACUGCCGUGGAUACUAUUAAUCUUGAAUACUGUGGAGGUUAGCGGAAUAUGUCAUGUAGCGGUGAAAUGCAUAGAUAUGACAUAGAACACCAAUUGCGAAGGCAGCUGGCUACACAGAGAUUGACGCUGAGGCACGAAAGCGUGGGGAUCAAACAGGAUUAGAUACCCUGGUAGUCCACGCCCUAAACGAUGAUUACUCGACAUUUGCGAUAUACAGUAAGUGUCUGAGCGAAAGCAUUAAGUAAUCCACCUGGGAAGUACGACCGCAAGGUUGAAACUCAAAGGAA